RNAcentral lists this ribosomal RNA (480 nucleotides) under uncultured bacterium. RNAcentral's name for it is "partial 16S ribosomal RNA". It matches the Rfam family "Bacterial small subunit ribosomal RNA", at positions 28 to 523 of the family's 1533-position model. The record is from RNAcentral.
GACGAACGCUGGCGGCAUGCUUAACACAUGCAAGUCGAGCGGAAAGGCCCUUUCGGGGGUACUCGAGCGGCGAACGGGUGAGUAACACGUGAGUAAUCUGCCCCUGGCUUUGGGAUAGCCACCGGAAACGGUGAUUAAUACCGGAUACGACCACUUCUCGCAUGGGAUGGUGGUGGAAAGUUUUUCGGCCAGGGAUGUGCUCGCGGCCUAUCAGCUUGAUGGUGAGGUAAUGGCUCACCAUGGCCUCGACGGGUAGCCGGCCUGAGAGGGUGACCGGUCACACUGGGACUGAGACACGGCCCAGACUCUUACGGGAGGCAGCAGUGGGGAAUAUUGGACAAUGGGCGGAAGCCUGAUCCAGCAACGCCGCGUGAGGGAUGACGGCCUUCGGGUUGUAAACCUCUUUCAGCAGGGACGAAGCGCAAGUGACGGUACCUGCAGAAGAAGCACCGGCCAACUACGUGCCAGCAGCCGCGGUAA